AGGAAAUCUCAGGAUAAAACAGUGCUGGCAAACAUCAUUUUGUUUAAAGUAUCGUAUCAAUAUAUAUUUGUUGAGAAAAUAUUCAAGUUCUUUGCAAACUGUAACACUUGUUUAGGAAAAAAGAUAGAGAGAAGAAAUUAGGAUCAGUUAUUUACUUGAGGCACAUGAGUGUUCUUCAUGUAUGACUCAAGGACAUCCCUUCUUUCCUCCCCGGUCUUCCAUCUUCCAUCUGUUUUCCUCCUUCUUCCCAUCUCCCUUUCCUCAUGCUCCUCCCCCUCUCCCUCACCUACAGGACUGAGAAUUCCUGUGGUCUCCUGAGAUCAGUUCAGUUUCUUUCCCCCUGAUUGUAUACAAGCUGUGGAAAGUUUUAGUCUUGUCGACUCCACGACCCACAUUAGUCAGGCAGAAGCCCCCGUUUACAAGGUACCCGUUGAGCCUUGGCAAGGUGCAUGACACACACUUGGUCACUGGAGAAAUGAUGAGUAGAGAAUGACAAAUAGAAGAGGGGAGCUUUGAGCCUGAGCUCUCUGGAGCAUAAGAGUGGUUGAGGCUUGGCCCUUGCCACCUAGAUUUCACACAACGUGUCAGGAAUCCUGGAUGCCCAGAAAGAAACCUGUUCCAGGGCUGGAGCCCCAACAUAGAGCUUUCAUUUAGGCAGUGUUGAGCAAUAAUAUGUGGUUGGAGCUCUGCAGAGGGACCCCAUAGGUGCAUUGCGUAACGAAGCUGUGGGAGAAAGGUCUCACCCCUAACAAUUCCAGAAUUAUAAAUCUACCAGCCGCUUGCAACUUCAGCGUGGAAAAGCCAGGGGCAUUAAACUCCAAACUGUGAGAGCAGCCAUGUGGGCUGCACCCUGCAAAGCCACAGACGCAGGAAUUUCGAGUGCGGUAUCCCUAUGUGCAUUGAACAUAUCUUCAUCCUUCUCAAAUUUGCUACUGAAACACCCACUGGCCAGGCGCGGUGGCUCACGCCUGUACUCCCAGAACUUUG
Molecule: non-coding RNA, 987 nt
Organism: Macaca mulatta (Rhesus monkey)
Lineage: Eukaryota; Metazoa; Chordata; Mammalia; Primates; Cercopithecidae
Source: RefSeq, a predicted model, not a curated record